GACGAACGCUGGCGGCGUGCUUAACACAUGCAAGUCGAACGGAAAGGCCCUGCUUUUGUGGGGUGCUCGAGUGGCGAACGGGUGAGUAACACGUGAGUAACCUGCCCUUGACUUUGGGAUAACUUCAGGAAACUGGGGCUAAUACCGGAUAGGAGCUCCUGCUGCAUGGUGGGGGUUGGAAAGUUUCGGCGGUUGGGGAUGGACUUGCGGCUUAUCAGCUUGUUGGUGGGGUAGUGGCUUACCAAGGCUUUGACGGGUAGCCGGCCUGAGAGGGUGACCGGCCACAUUGGGACUGAGAUACGGCCCAGACUCCUACGGGAGGCAGCAGUGGGGAAUAUUGCACAAUGGGCGGAAGCCUGAUGCAGCAACGCCGCGUGCGGGAUGACGGCCUUCGGGUUGUAAACCGCUUUCGCCUGUGACGAAGCGUGAGUGACGGUAAUGGGUAAAGAAGCACCGGCUAACUACGU
This 467-nucleotide ribosomal RNA is filed under the name uncultured bacterium. RNAcentral's name for it is "partial 16S ribosomal RNA". It matches the Rfam family "Bacterial small subunit ribosomal RNA", at positions 28 to 506 of the family's 1533-position model. The record is from RNAcentral.